Molecule: unclassified non-coding RNA, 204 nt
Filed under: Hevea brasiliensis (rubber tree)
Lineage: Eukaryota; Viridiplantae; Streptophyta; Magnoliopsida; Malpighiales; Euphorbiaceae
Source: RNAcentral
GCUGUUGGCAAGGGGUUCUCAGAACUGGGAGCCAAAUCAGAGAUGUUGUCAAUUAAGUUGCAAAAGGAGGCUCACCAACUUCUGAUGAAUUUCGAGGAACCCUUGAAAGAUUAUGUUCGUACAGUGCAAUCUAUUAAGGCCACCAUAGCCGAGAGAGCCAAUGCCUUCAGGCAGCAAUGUGAACUUGCCGAAACAACAAAGCUG